AUGCAGCGCAGUAAAGCCGCUGUGAGCGUGGAAGUGAAGCAAGUCAUUGGAGCUUUGUGCAGACUACUAGCGGCUACUGGCCUGGAAGCUGUCCCCACACCGGAGAUAUUCAGGCUGGCCAAAUUCGGUGGUGGAGCCGAGGUGGAGGAUCAGUUUUGGCAGCUCAUCGCCAACGUCCUUCAGAAAGCUAACAUAGUUUCCUGUGAAGCUAGGGCAAAGCUAGGAGGAGCCUCACAGCACAGGAAGCUGACAGUUGCAGGCCUCUGGCAGACUAGCUACCAUGCUGACUGGAUGUAUGGGAGGGAGGGAGGAGAAGGAGGGAGAUUGUCUAGCAGAGACCUCCUCAUGGCGCUUGCCUGGCUGCUCGCUACAGGAACACUGGAGAGACUGCUGACACAGAGAAUACAGCAAUUGGACAAAACACUCCUCACACGUAUGUCUAUGAACACUCAACUUUCCAAUGAGCUCCAGUUAGACCCAGCAUCGCUGAAGACACUUCAGUGGCUCAUUGGCAGUCUCAGGCACCAGGGGCGGACGCUGCUUUCCAUUCAAGAAGAGCGAACUGGCCUGCUCCAUUCUGACUGUGUAUGUAUGUGUCAGCUCUGUGACCUCCUAGAAGCAUAUGUGAACUGGAGACAGGUAGAGAAAGUCUUCUGGACCUGGAUGGACAGUGUGGUGGACUGCUGUCUGACGGAUACUGUUGUCAAGAGGUCUACAAAAUCUCCUAAUGGCAGCUCAGGAGUGUGUCACCAUGGAAUCUGGGGGCUAGAGAAAUUAGACGAUAUGCUGUUGAGACUGCCCACGGGACAGAUGUUCUACACACGCAAGGUGUUCUUUUUUCACAGGGUUCAUUGCCUAGUGGUUUUGAGAAAUGCUGUUUAAAUUGAUGGUGAAUUAAAAAGCACCAACAAUACUGUACUGAAUAAAACUGAGGUAAAUCAAACAUUUAAAAAAAGUUAUUUUGUGUAUGUGUUUAGAUCAACUCAGCAGAAAGACUGGAAGCAGGUGGCUUUGUCAAGAGUUCUAAAAUCAUCUAGCAGUAAAUCUAAAUCUCACUAAUAAACAUGUUUGAUCAUGUCCCCAAUAGAUUAUUGCAGGGCUACAGCAAAUUCUUGAAAAAUAAUGGGUUAUCCAUUCUCAAAAACACAGCCAAAACACUCAUCAAUCAGAGAGAAGCUAGCAAAAACAGACUUUCCCUAUAGAAAAAAAACUAACUUCCAGAGGACUUUGCAUUGUAAAUGUUUUUAGUUGAGCAUUUACAAAAUAAACAAACAUUUUUCAUUCCUUUGAUACUAUCUCAGCCUGCUGGCUUACAUCAAUUUGUCACUGUGCUCACUUCUUUAAAUCCAAGGUUAAUAAGGUUUUUUCCAAAAAUCUUGAUCAUGCAAUUGUAGGUAAUUAUGGUCAAUCAUAUUACUAUAAUAGUGUCUUCCAGAUCUCCACUUUCUGGAUCCCAAGGCCAUAGAGGUAGAUGUUGGUAUUGAGCCAUGCUAAGAGCUUCUCCUCUGCCCCCAGUGUAUGUGCUAUAAUAGGCUAAGCAAAUCCUAGCUCUGCAUUUAACACAUGAGAUGAGACUGGUAUCAAUUCUGUCAUUUCACUCUUGCAAAGUAAGCAUCUAAACUUUCUUGUCAAAAUAAUAAAGUGUUCCUGGACCAACACUUGCACGCUAGUGUCAAUCUUGAAACGCUUGUAUGCCCAGAUUUGAUUUUCAACUCUGCAUAUGAACAGAAUAUGAAUGUCUCUCUUAUUCAUGAAUGAUUCCGUUAUUUUAUCAGCGUGUUCCGUACAGUGUCGGAACAAUACCCUACUUAAGAUUAAAGCAAUAAUGCAUUUAUUACAUUAUAUUUCCUUGAUGUUAGGUGACACUGGGUGUGCAGUUAGCUACCAUUUACGUAUGGUGCAGUCGAGUAAUAUCAUGUUAUUGCAAUCAUACCUGAAUUUUACCAUUGAAAAAAAACUUGGCAAAAAAUUGUAUGCAAAUAAGGAACUGCUUGAAUAAAUAAUGACUAAACGUGAUUACAAAUCUGAACAACAAAAAGUAUUAAAGUUUGAUGCCAAAUAAGAAAAUUGCAGUAUGAAGACAGAACCCACUUUGUAAUACACUGACUGUAGUGUUCCACAGUCUCUAAUUCAUAAUGUUUAUAUUCCUUUGUUUGAUUUUCUUGUCUGAAUCCCUUUCAUCUUCUGUCACAGAAAGGACAGAGCAGAGGCAGAGGGGAUGCUGAGAACAGAGGAGAAGGAGGAGAGAGGUUGCAGGGGGGUCCGUGCACCUCCGCCCUCCCUCCUGUUCUCUCUUCCCUUCCAUCCCUGCCCUCCAUCCCUCAGGUCUACAGAGCCAGGCUCCUAACUGAGAGGUCAGUCAAACUCAGGCACCACCCAGCAGAGAGGCUCCACGCCGGGGCUAGGGCUCCUGAUAAGCUUUCAUCGUCUGAUGCCACACAGCUGCUCCUUCAAAUAGAGGCUCUGUUGCUGAACAGGAGGGACAGGCAGAGACUCGCCAAUAGGAUGCAGCUGCAAGAGAUGGUUGGCAGGCUGGAUGAACUGGUGUUGAUUCCACCGUAGACUUUUUUUAAUUGUGGCAUCAGUAUGUAAGAAGACCACUGUGAGUGUGAUGGAAGUGUUCUGCUCUUCCAGAAUGUAACGUAUUAGUUCCGAAAUUUGCCAAGAAUGUAUUUGACCUUUGGAUGGAAACCAGAUUUUUUUUUUUGCAGUUUUACUUUAAAAAAGAAAUACGCUUUCAACAGGUUUAGUUUGAUGAUGGUAAAUAUUUCUAUUAACCUUUAUAGGUCAUUAACUAACAAAGACGACAAAGUCAGUUGAGCGCUUCAGAAACAGAAGAGACAAAAGACACCCGACAAAUCAGAAAAAAACUAUUUAAAACAAAUAACUAAUUCAUAAUAUAUGUAAACUGUCCUCACUGUUAACAGAAACAUUAAAACAAGGCUAGGUCAAAACCUAUUAUAUGGCUGGACCGUUACUGGUCAAGAGGCAAAAAUGUGGCCAAUUUAAGGUAGUCAGUGGUAGAGUUUGCUAUUAAUUUGGGGAUAUUAAAUCCUCAUAUGCAAAAAAAUACAGAAUAGUUAGUUAGUGUAGGGAAAUUUAGGAAUAAGUUAAGUUGUUAUUGCAUUCACAAGUUACAUUCAUAGAUGUCUUUUUUUUUUAUCUUUAUAUUUUACUUAUUAUUAACAUAGCUGUAGCCUCAAAACAAGCAUGCUGAGCCCUACUGAUUGUUUUCCUUAAUGUAAUUUAAAAAAUUCAAGUUUAACCUUUUCCAAUUUUGAGUUACACCUUUCAUGCUUCCCUUGUCUUAUUUCCAUUACCAUUCACAAUUUCAUCUCUACAAAUGCUUUUCAAAUUCCAUUUUAGCUUUUGCAUUUUAAAUUAUUGUGUUGUGCGACCCAUAGAUCUUGUGCAUUAACUUUAGGUUUAGGACCCAACUAACGUGGAUGGGAAUAAAGUUGUGUGGCUCUAGACUUUCCAAAUUAUAUUGGAUCGCAUUGCUCAAAUUCUGACAGUGAAAUUUGUAAUUUCUCAGGGGUUUUGAUGCUCAAAAAUUAGUAUCAACUGUUUUAUAUCCUGCUCUUUCACAAUGCAAGCUUAUGGGAAAAAGGGGCCUUGGCCAACGUGACGAUGUAAUUACACAGUUUGGCACUAUGAAAAGCUGGCUUCAAUGCCUGGUGCUCUUCCUGGGGUCUUUGGUUGGCGCCCCUGUUGCAGUCCAGCCAAUUAUGGUGUGGACAUUUUGCAAUGAAUGUAACAGAAUAAAUUCUACAUCACAAACAUUACAGCUAAUAUGAACAAGGUAAGCAAAAGCUAUUGUAGAUUUCUGAAAUGAAUAAAUCAUAUUCUCAUGUCCUCAGAGCUUGUAUGAGUAUUUGAGAAAUGUAUUAUAUGAAACUACCUUAGAAAAAAAAAAGUUUAUGAAUAUAUUUAAAAAUAUUUUAAGAUGUACUCCAACAGUUUAGAAAAAAUGACAUGUGUUGUUAGAGGGACUUACACAUGCACCACAUCCACCAUGACUUACUAUAGCUUGGGUUUCUACAGGCUGACCUCACAUUGUCCCACUGACUUCAGAAGCUGUGCUGAGUCACUGCACCGGAAGAAGUUCCAGCUCCUUAAACCAACGGCUUUAGGAGUGUUG
Molecule: long non-coding RNA, 4141 nt
Organism: Sparus aurata (gilthead seabream)
Lineage: Eukaryota; Metazoa; Chordata; Actinopteri; Spariformes; Sparidae
Source: Ensembl